UCUCUUCGGAGACAUCCGAUAAAAUUGGAACGAUACAGAGAAGAUUAGCAUGGCCCCUGCGCAAGGAUGACACGCAUAAAUCGAGAAAUGGUCUAAAUUUUUUUGCCGUUUUCACAAAUUUCUCCUGAUUUCCCAAGCGACGGCAGCCCUAGAUCUCAAUGAGAAAUCCUCCGGCAGCCUCUCCUCCAUUUUGUGAAUCAAAAAGUUUUUUUUUUUGGACUUUAUCUUCCUUUGUGUUUGCCAGCAACGGAAGCCCUAAUCACAGUUCUCUUCAGCCUUUCCUCAAUUUCGCGAUCGACCCGUCGGAACUCUCGUGGCAUCGACUUGCUAGAGAUCAGUUAUGAGUCUUUACUUGUGGGAAUAUUGAUGAAAGUUUCAAUUUUUACCUGUCAUUUCUCCUUGCUCGGAACCUGUGAGUUACUGUCUUGGAAACCUGGUUGAUGAGGUUGUGGGAAUUUCUAAAGGAGAGCACGGUUUGUAUAAGAUCCUUCACAAAAGUUGCUGGUGGAUCUGACUAAUCUCCAUUUUGAUCAAUUCAGCAAGAAUAUACUGAGUUGGGGGGAAGAAAAUGAAGGAUAUCUAGGAAGAGACAUUGAUGAAGGUGAGUAGCUUGCAGAAGUUCUAUUGUAAAAUAAAAUUUAAGAAGAGAAUGGUAAUUCUAUUCUUGGAGGAGAAAAAGACAUAUCCUACAAAUUUAAAUACUGCUUUUGUAUUGAAGAUUUAUAUCUUGACUUAGUGGCAGUUGAUGAUAAUGUCUCCAUAUCUUGUUCAGUCAUACCCAACACAACAUUCUUAAUUUCAUAUAUUAAAUUUGUUUGUGCAUGCUUUUGGGUUCGAUCACAAAAAGGAAAGCUUCAUUGAAGUGAUUUCUAAUGGUUUUUCUUUGUAUUAGAAUUUAGUUGCAAAGUUAAAGUUUCAAUGAAGAUAUUUUUUA
Long non-coding RNA from Dendrobium catenatum, 934 nucleotides. RefSeq lists it as uncharacterized. Lineage: Eukaryota; Viridiplantae; Streptophyta; Magnoliopsida; Asparagales; Orchidaceae. The transcript has 2 exons. The record is from RefSeq and is a predicted model, not a curated record.